GAUGAACGCUAGGCUACAGGCCUAACACAUGCAAGUCGAACGGUAAGGCCCCGUUCGGGGUACACGAGUGGCGAACGGGUGAGUAACACGUGGGUAAUCUGCCCUGCACUUCGGGAUAAGCCUGGGAAACUGGGUCUAAUACCGGAUAUGAGCUCCUGCCGCAUGGUGGGGGUUGGAAAGUUUUUCGGUGCAGGAUGAGCCCGCGGCCUAUCAGCUUGUUGGUGGGGUAAUGGCCUACCAAGGCGACGACGGGUAGCCGGCCUGAGAGGGUGAUCGGCCACACUGGGACUGAGACACGGCCCAG
Molecule: ribosomal RNA, 304 nt
Filed under: uncultured bacterium
Lineage: Bacteria
Description: bacterial SSU rRNA
Rfam family: Bacterial small subunit ribosomal RNA
Source: RNAcentral